GCCCGGCUCUAGCUCAGUCGGUUUAGAGCAUGAGACUCUUAAUCUCAGGGUCGUGGGUUCGAGGCCCCACGUUGGGCG
Cyprinus carpio (common carp) is the source of this 78-nucleotide non-coding RNA. Lineage: Eukaryota; Metazoa; Chordata; Actinopteri; Cypriniformes; Cyprinidae. The record is from the annotation of a RefSeq genome assembly.